CUGGCUCUUGGUGGGAUACCACUGAAAGUGAGCCAUAGGAUGGCGCCCACCCCUGUCCUCCCCAUGAGACGUAUCCAACAAUUCAAGUCUGGCCCACAGUAGCACUGGUCAUAAUCUAUCUGUCUGUCCACGCUGGUCGUGGGUAGGUCCAGCAGCGAUAGUUCUCUACUUGACAUGCUGGUGUUGUGGCUCUAAAGAACUGCCUAGGUAUGGGAUCCAACUUUGUGUCACAGAGGAAAUGGAUUCCAGCUUCCUGGCUUGACACUGAGUGCUGGAUCCUGAGCCCAGAAGAAAUCCAGAGUUGAGUUAGAAGUCUAGCUGGUAGCUGGUCAUCUAUACUGCACUCGGAUGAGGGCAAAAGGCAGCAGUAGAGACACUCAGUGCCCCAUUCCCAGAUGAGGAGGGCUUCUCUCAGCUACCCACGCGGCCUUUCCUCACUGUCUCUCGGCCUGGCCGCACAAACCUAUUGGAGGCUACGCAAAAGACAGAUGACAUCGAGGCAAGACCUAGAAGCCAGCGGGAGCAAACAAAAUAAAAGUUGACUGGAGCGUGGACACAGGAGCGUGGGCACAGAAGCGUGGACACACAGCCCUAGACUGGAGCGUGGACACACAGCUCCUUACCUCAAAGCGGGUAAGGAAAUUCUGAGAACAGAUGUUGACGGAAGUUGACCUUCAACCAAAACCUGUGCAUUCAGAAAGUACCGACCACAGCUUCCUCCCCCAGAUGACUGUAGCCUGAAACUGCUCCUUCACAGAGACCACCUAUGGAGAUAAGCUGAGCCAUCUCUUCAUCUGUGCCAUAUCUCAUAAACACAUUGAGCUUCAGGACUACUGCUUGUAUGUCUCCAUCUGAGUGCAUGGCCACUGGGUCCCAGCCUUACAUAAUUUAUACCUAUCUUAUUCUUCAUGGCCCCCAGUCUGAUCACAGCCGUGUGGGUUUCUGCAGGAAGUCCUUUCUGAAGGGCGUCAAGGGUGGUCGCAUACUGAUACUAUUGAUAGAUGAUCACCAUUCCUAAGCAUGAUCAAUCCACCUCUUGCCUUCCAGACUCAGUGAUGAGGGAGGAGGCUGGGGCUCCUCUGGCAUCAGAUAAUCAGGAAGGGGUUUGAGAUAGUUGCCUUGUGUUCCCAAACCAGCCCAUCUCAAAAUAAAGACAUUUUCGGC
Molecule: long non-coding RNA, 1164 nt
Filed under: Mus pahari (shrew mouse)
Lineage: Eukaryota; Metazoa; Chordata; Mammalia; Rodentia; Muridae
Description: lncRNA (MGP_PahariEiJ_G0005204.1)
Source: RNAcentral